This 468-nucleotide ribosomal RNA is filed under the name uncultured bacterium. Its description in RNAcentral is "partial 16S ribosomal RNA". It matches the Rfam family "Bacterial small subunit ribosomal RNA", at positions 28 to 507 of the family's 1533-position model. The record is from RNAcentral.
GACGAACGCUGGCGGCGUGCUUAACACAUGCAAGUCGAACGGAAAGGCCCUGCUUUUGUGGGGUGCUCGAGUGGCGAACGGGUGAGUAACACGUGAGUAACCUGCCCUUGACUUUGGGAUAACUUCAGGAAACUGGGGCUAAUACCGGAUAGGAGCUCCUGCUGCAUGGUGGGGGUUGGAAAGUUUCGGCGGUUGGGGAUGGACUCGCGGCUUAUCAGCUUGUUGGUGGGGUAGUGGCUUACCAAGGCUUUGACGGGUAGCCGGCCUGAGAGGGUGACCGGCCACAUUGGGACUGAGAUACGGCCCAGCCUCCUACGGGAGGCAGCAGUGGGGAAUAUUGCACAAUGGGCGGAAGCCUGCUGCAGCAACGCCGCGUGCGGGAUGACGGCCUUCGGGUUGUAAACCGCUUUCGCCUGUGACGAAGCGUGAGUGACGGUAAUGGGUAAAGAAGCACCGGCUAACUACGUG